UUUCCGUAGGUGAACCUGCGGAAGGAUCAUUUCCGAACAAAAAACUUAUAUCAACCAACCAUGUGAAUUGUUGAUUGUUAUUCCUUACUCCUUGUUUCAAAAAAAGGGUUAGGAUCUUAACUGAUCUUCCUCCUUUUGGCGAAACUUGGAGGCCUUGAUGAACUACCUUGUCACAAAGGUUUAUAUACUUGUGCUUUCGAAAGAAGGCCAAUUCUUUUCUUAAAACGAAAUCAAUUGAAGUUGACAACUUUUAACGGUGGAUCUCUUGGCUCGU
This 274-nucleotide unclassified non-coding RNA is filed under the name plant metagenome. RNAcentral describes it as "partial contains small subunit ribosomal RNA, internal transcribed spacer 1, and 5.8S ribosomal RNA". The record is from RNAcentral.